Molecule: RNase P RNA, 205 nt
Filed under: Aquiluna sp.
Lineage: Bacteria; Bacillati; Actinomycetota; Actinomycetes; Micrococcales; Microbacteriaceae
Description: partial RNase P RNA component class A
Rfam family: Bacterial RNase P class A
About the family: Ribonuclease P (RNase P) is a ubiquitous endoribonuclease, found in archaea, bacteria and eukarya as well as chloroplasts and mitochondria.
Source: RNAcentral
CGGUGGUGUAAGAGACCACCAGCGGAUUAGGAGACUAGUUCGGCUAGGUAAACCUCACCGGGAGCAAGACCAAGUAAGAAGACGCUAAGGACUGCUCGUUUAGUCUUCGGGUAGGUCGCUAGAGCCACUUAGUAAUUUGUGGCCGAGAUAGAUGGCCGUCAGUGCUUCGGCAUUACAGAACCCGGCGUAUCGGCCGACCCAUCUC